RNAcentral lists this long non-coding RNA (630 nucleotides) under Pan troglodytes (chimpanzee). RNAcentral describes it as "lncRNA (ENSPTRG00000053347.1)". Lineage: Eukaryota; Metazoa; Chordata; Mammalia; Primates; Hominidae. The record is from RNAcentral.
UGUGUCUGUAACCAGCUAAUGAGCUGCAACAGAGCCUGGCCUUCAUUUUCAGCAAAUUAAGUUCAUCCCUCAUAGGAAUUGUGGUCUGGCUGUGGCACCGCUCCUAGGUGAACAACAAAGAAGACUUGGAAACUCAGUGAUCAGGGAUUGGAAAUGAUGGUGAUGGAAAGUGGAAUAUCAUUGAUGCUGAACAUUCAAACCUCACUGAUCUCAGAAAAGACAUGACAAACUCCAAAAGGAAACCCAAGCAGCUAUUUGGCUCCCUUAAUUAAUGAAGUCGCCCAGUAUGGAUAAUUCAGGUGGGAUUUUUCUUGCCUUUGGAAAAAAUAAAUCUCUUACCAGAGAUAUGAAAAAUUCAGCUGAAUUUAUUUAUGGCCCUGGUAAAGGUCUUUUCAUGCUCUACAAUGACAAUAUUUUUACAAAACCUACAGGUCACCAAUUUACUUGGUUAUUAAAAGCUUUACUGCAUCAUAUACGAAUCAAAGUGGAGGGGUCAUGCCAAGUCCUUACUCAGAAGGAGAAGAUAAUGGAAGAGAUGCAGAACACCCAGGCAAGGUUCUCUAAACAUGAGUAUGCCUUUGGGGGAAGACAGAAGAACAUGGAAGCCAUGUGAAAAAAAUGGAUCCUAAG